RNAcentral lists this ribosomal RNA (249 nucleotides) under uncultured bacterium. RNAcentral's name for it is "partial 16S ribosomal RNA". It matches the Rfam family "Bacterial small subunit ribosomal RNA", at positions 796 to 1041 of the family's 1533-position model. The record is from RNAcentral.
CUGGCAGUAAACGGUGCACGCUUGGUGUGGGAGGGUUCGACCCCUUCUGUGCCGGAGCUAACGCGUUAAGCGUGCCGCCUGGGGAGUACGGUCGCAAGAUUAAAACUCAAAGAAAUUGACGGGGACCCGCACAAGCGGUGGAGCAUGUGGCUUAAUUCGAUGCAACGCGAAGAACCUUACCUGGGCUUGACAUGUUAGUCGUAGACUUGUGAAAGCUUGUCGUCACUUCGGGUGGACUAUCACAGGUGC